GAAAGUUAACGUGUGUACUGUCGUUGAGAGAGGGAAGCUAUUUCUGGCAAGAAAUCAUUUUGUUUCUCAGGUUCCAUUUGUUUUACUUUACGGUGGACACCACAGACAUAAUAAGAAAAGAACACAGAAGAGAAGAAUAUCCAAUCAGCUCCCUGCAGAAGUUCAAUGUGAAAAGGGCUGAAGAGGCGUGCCUGGCAAGUACAAGCAGGAGAGGACAGAGGCAGAUACUGCCGGCAAAAAUCGUCUUUCUUGGGGUUCCUGGGAUCGUUGCCUCACUCAGAUGGCUUAGAGGCCACGAAAACGUCAAAGGACCAGCUGGACCCUCACAAGCUCGAUGUGCUCAUAGAUGGUGUCAGAAGUGGGAUGGCUUGCCGUGAGGUCACCUGAGCCGUGCCCAGAGUCCGAACCCUAUGAGGGACCCCCAUGGGUAACAUUAAUGAUGGGAUGUGUAUAGUGUACUUUUCAGUAAUACUGAUCAUAUGUCAUCAUUUUACUGAUUUUAUUUUUAUUUGAAGGUAUUUUGGGCAAGAUGUGAUACAUGCU
This is a long non-coding RNA of Micropterus dolomieu (smallmouth bass), 543 nucleotides long. RefSeq lists it as uncharacterized. The record is from RefSeq and is a predicted model, not a curated record. The transcript is spliced from 3 exons. Lineage: Eukaryota; Metazoa; Chordata; Actinopteri; Centrarchiformes; Centrarchidae.